UAAAGAGGCCGUUUAGUUCAAGAUUUAUAAUGUUUCACAAAUAUUAUUUAUUUUAUAUUCAGAAUGGCAAAUUUGUUAUUAACUUGUAAGUUAUUUGAGCGGUGAGAUUGUUAAGAAAUGGUAUAUUCUUAUUAAUGAGUAGCUAAAGAUUCCCACAAGUAGGAAAAUAAGAAUACCACACUAUCUAUGAUAAUCUAGUAUUCGUACCAUUUAAGAAUUUAUAAUGAUUUGAAUUGAACGAUAAUGAUUUGAAUAUUUUUGAUAAAAGAUUUAUAGAAUUACGAGAAUAUUACAAAUCAUGAACUCAAAUAGAUCCAAAGAGCACUGCUGCGGAUGAGCAAUGCUAUUAAUACACCCAAAAACUGGAUGUAAAUUUUAUAUCUGUCUAUCCAAGGAUUUAUCUUAUCAAUAUUUUUAAAAAAAAUAUUAAAUACGAAAAAGGGUGUCUAAACUCUCGAAUGGAUGAGUGUGAAAUUUAUAACCGACCUUUCGGCUUUACAGGCAAUAUUUCUUUAUUUUAAAUAUUAAAAUUGAAUUGGGUUUUGUAGAUCUUGGUUUGGAUAAAGUGUAGAAUUUACAAAUAUAUAUAGGUGUACAGAUAGUAUUUUUUUUUUUUUAUAUGAGUGAAUGUUUCUGAAGAAAAUGUCAAAUCGAUCGGUCUAUCCUGACCUAAGUGUCCAAAUUAGUUCAUUUCAACUUCUAAAAACAAGCGGACAGAUCUCACGCUGACUCAGUCUAUAAACGAUUCGGUUCAACAUUUUGAACCAGAUAAGUCAAAACCUCACUUUGAAUCGUUUGAAUUGGUGGUC
This 809-nucleotide long non-coding RNA is filed under the name Ananas comosus (pineapple). RNAcentral describes it as "long non-coding RNA (ACOM_LNC026491)". The record is from RNAcentral. Lineage: Eukaryota; Viridiplantae; Streptophyta; Magnoliopsida; Poales; Bromeliaceae.